Molecule: ribosomal RNA, 466 nt
Filed under: uncultured bacterium
Lineage: Bacteria
Description: partial 16S ribosomal RNA
Rfam family: Bacterial small subunit ribosomal RNA
Source: RNAcentral
CGAACGCUGGCGGCGUGCUUAACACAUGCAAGUCGAACGGAAAGGCCCUGCUUUUGUGGGGUGCUCGAAUGGCGAACGGGUGAGUAACACGUGAGUAACCUGCCCUUGACUUUGGGAUAACUUCAGGAAACUGGGGCUAAUACCGGAUAGGAGCUCCUGCUGCAUGGUGGGGGUUGGAAAGUUUCGGCGGUUGGGGAUGGACUCGCGGCUUAUCAGCUUGUUGGUGGGGUAGUGGCUUACCAAGGCUUUGACGGGUAGCCGGCCUGAGAGGGUGACCGGCCACAUUGGGACUGAGAUACGGCCCAGACUCCUACGGGAGGCAGCAGUGGGGAAUAUUGCACAAUGGGCGGAAGCCUGAUGCAGCAACGCCGCGUGCGGGAUGACGGCCUUCGGGUUGUAAACCGCUUUCGCCUGUGACGAAGCGUGAGUGACGGUAAUGGGUAAAGAAGCACCGGCUAACUACGUG